RNAcentral lists this long non-coding RNA (1387 nucleotides) under Strigops habroptila (Kakapo). RNAcentral's name for it is "lncRNA (ENSSHBG00005018563.1)". Lineage: Eukaryota; Metazoa; Chordata; Aves; Psittaciformes; Psittacidae. The record is from RNAcentral.
GGGGUUGUUUCGGUCCCCUCCGCACCAGAACAGCUUGGGAGGACAGAGUGGCUGAACCAGUGCACAGCCAGCCUGGUUGUUCCAGGGCUCAGGCAGUGGCAGACCUCCAGAGCUCGAGUGGAGGAACCAGGAGCCCAUAUCUUGAAAACUCACACACAGUUGUGAGUGCUCCACAGAGCAGAGAGUUUGGUGUGCCCUGUGGAUGCUUUCUGUAGCAGGAAUUGCCUGUCUGUUUACAAUUCCCAUUCCAACAGGCCAGCUAACUUGAGGGCACAGAGACCAUGACAUGGUAAUUUUUUUCCUAACGCACAGAGGCUGUGCACCAGCACUGCUGAUGGAGACCACCGAGAUGAUUCCAGAAAUGUUUUGUAGUCAGCGAGUUUGAAACAGGGAGUGAUGCUGGAGCGGGAGGGCUCUACGUGGCAUGGCUUAAUCCUGUGCCUUUGAAACAAAACUGUUUUAGCAAAACCACACUAUUCUCAUGAGGGCUGUUGGUGGUGGUUCUCUGAGAUCUCGCUUUGAUCUGUUAAUGUUUAUUUGUAGUCCAGCCAUUUUUAACAUAUGCUUCUGAGGAGGUGACCUGAUAGAUACUGAGAGAGUUCCCUGGCGCCACUGAGAAAAUCAAGUCCUUUUUUCAGCCAUGUUUAGGCAUACGUUUGUAUCUUACAUGUCUUUAUUACUAACAGUUAAGUAUCUUGUUCACCAUGUUCUGUUAAAUUCCUUUUUUACUAUAAUGGAAAAGGAGCACCUGGAGUUAAUCAGUAACUUUUACUUCAGGUGCCUUAUGGACUAGGAGGACACUUUCAAAGGCCUCUGGGUAGGGAAACAGAGCUCUGGACAAGCUUCUCUCCUCUGGGUAUGGAGGCAGCCUGAGGAAAGUCAUCUGUUGUGCAUGGAAUUAGCCUUCAGAGAUACUUUCUCCACAGCACAGUGGGAAUUUGGGACUGCCUGCUUUGAAGACCUUUCCAGUCCUGCACCCCUUCAAAUUCCCUGCUCCCUCUAUAUCUAUGUUGUCCAGUCAUCUGUUUUGAAUGUAGGUAUCUCAAAUGCAUCUGUUUUGUGCAUUAGGACCUGAUACUUGUGAAGAACUAUGUUAAACUUUCUUGCUCUGCCUUCUUUAAAACAGGAUUAAACAUUUCUGCUGGCCGAGCAGCUGAUGCCAUUCUGGCAAGCUGUGACCCUCAGUCCUCCACAGCACUGAACCUUUCUGCCUUGUCUGUUUCUUCUCAGCCUGCUCAAAGUGUGCUUUUGAGUGAUUUAUGAGUAGUUUAUAUGAGUAGUAUAUUUAUUUAUGAGUAGUUUAGUAUGCCUUACAAAUGAAACAUUAAAAUUCCAGCAGGUGUCUUUAAAAGCUUGUUUCUGAGCUGGUUUCUUGUGCUGAUUCAGU